GUGGGAGGGGGCUUGCCCCCGAUGGCGGUGAUUCAGUCAAUUCAAUGUUGACUGACACUCCGCUAUCGGGGGCAAGCCCCCUCCCAC
RNAcentral lists this unclassified non-coding RNA (87 nucleotides) under Pseudomonas azotoformans. The record is from RNAcentral. Lineage: Bacteria; Pseudomonadati; Pseudomonadota; Gammaproteobacteria; Pseudomonadales; Pseudomonadaceae.